GUGCCAGCCGCCGCGGUAAUACGUAGGGUGCGAGCGUUGUCCGGAAUUAUUGGGCGUAAAGAGCUCGUAGGCGGUUUGUCGCGUCGACUGUGAAAACUGGGGGCUUAACUCUCAGCUUGCAGUCGAUACGGGCAGACUUGAGUUCGGUAGGGGAGACUGGAAUUCCUGGUGUAGCGGUGAAAUGCGCAGAUAUCAGGAGGAACACCGGUGGCGAAGGCGGGUCUCUGGGCCGAUACUGACGCUGAGGAGCGAAAGCGUGGGGAGCGAACAGGAUUAGAAACCCCGGUAGUCC
RNAcentral lists this ribosomal RNA (292 nucleotides) under uncultured bacterium. RNAcentral's name for it is "partial 16S ribosomal RNA". It matches the Rfam family "Bacterial small subunit ribosomal RNA", at positions 505 to 796 of the family's 1533-position model. The record is from RNAcentral.